This 676-nucleotide ribosomal RNA is filed under the name uncultured Actinomycetes bacterium. RNAcentral's name for it is "bacterial SSU rRNA". It matches the Rfam family "Bacterial small subunit ribosomal RNA", at positions 87 to 776 of the family's 1533-position model. The record is from RNAcentral. Lineage: Bacteria; Bacillati; Actinomycetota; Actinomycetes.
GUACUCGAGCGGCGAACGGGUGAGUAACACGUGAGUAAUCUGCCCUUGGCUUCGGGAUAGCCACCGGAAACGGUGAUUAAUACCGGAUACGACGCAUCACUGCAUGGUGCGUGUGUGGAAAGUUUUUUCGGCCAGGGAUGUGCUCGCGGCCUAUCAGCUUGUUGGUGGGGUAAUGGCCUACCAAGGCUUCGACGGGUAGCCGGCCUGAGAGGGUGACCGGCCACACUGGGACUGAGACACGGCCCAGACUCCUACGGGAGGCAGCAGUGGGGAAUAUUGGACAAUGGGCGGAAGCCUGAUCCAGCAACGCCGCGUGAGGGAUGACGGCCUUCGGGUUGUAAACCUCGUUCAGCACAGACGAAGCGCAAGUGACGGUAUGUGCAGAAGAAGGACCGGCCAACUACGUGCCAGCAGCCGCGGUAAUACGUAGGGUCCGAGCGUUGUCCGGAAUUAUUGGGCGUAAAGGGCUCGUAGGCGGUUUGUCGCGUCGGGAGUGAAAACACCGGGCUUAACUCGGUGCUUGCUUUCGAUACGGGCAGACUAGAGGUAUUCAGGGGAGAACGGAAUUCCUGGUGUAGCGGUGAAAUGCGCAGAUAUCAGGAGGAACACCGGUGGCGAAGGCGGUUCUCUGGGAAUAUCCUGACGCUGAGGAGCGAAAGUGUGGGGAGCGAACAGG